UACGUAGGGGGCAAGCGUUGUCCGGAAUUAUUGGGCGUAAAGAGCUCGUAGGCGGUCCGUUAAGUCGGAAGUGAAAUCUCAAGGCUCAACCUUGAAACUGCUUUCGAUACUGGCGGACUUGAGGCAGGUAGGGGAAGGUGGAAUUCCUGGUGUAGCGGUGAAAUGCGCAGAUAUCAGGAGGAACACCAGUGGCGAAGGCGGCCUUCUGGGCCUGUUCUGACGCUGAGGAGCGAAAGCGUGGGGAGCAAACAGGAUUAGAUACCCCCGUAGUCC
Molecule: ribosomal RNA, 273 nt
Filed under: uncultured bacterium
Lineage: Bacteria
Description: partial 16S ribosomal RNA
Rfam family: Bacterial small subunit ribosomal RNA
Source: RNAcentral